CCUACGGGAGGCAGCAGUGAGGAAUAUUGGUCAAUGGACGAGAGUCUGAACCAGCCAAGUAGCGUGAAGGAUGACUGCCCUAUGGGUUGUAAACUUCUUUUAUAUGGGAAUAAAACGUUCCACGUGUGGGAUUUUGUAUGUACCAUAUGAAUAAGGAUCGGCUAACUCCGUGCCAGCAGCCGCGGUAAUACGGAGGAUCCGAGCGUUAUCCGGAUUUAUUGGGUUUAAAGGGAGCGUAGGUGGAUUGUUAAGUCAGUUGUGAAAGUUUGCGGCUCAACCGUAAAAUUGCAGUUGAAACUGGCAGUCUUGAGUACAGUAGAGGUUGGCGGAAUUCGUGGUGUAGCGGUGAAAUGCUUAGAUAUCACGAAGAACUCCGAUUGCGAAGGCAGUUCACUGGACUGCAACUGACACUGAGGCUCGAAAGUGUGGGUAUCAAACAGGAUUAGAUACCCGAGUAGUC
This 460-nucleotide ribosomal RNA is filed under the name uncultured bacterium. RNAcentral describes it as "partial 16S ribosomal RNA". It matches the Rfam family "Bacterial small subunit ribosomal RNA", at positions 338 to 795 of the family's 1533-position model. The record is from RNAcentral.